GGCUUGAUGAUAUUAAUUUUAAGUCGAUCUGCCCAAUGAUUUAAAUUUUAAUGGCUGCAGUAUAAUUAACUGUACAAAGGUAGCAUAAUCAAUUGUUUUUUAAUUAAAAACUAGAAUGAAAGAAUUAAUGAGAUAUAUACUGUCUCAUAUAUAUAUAAUAAAUUUAAAUUUUUAGUAAAAAUGCUUAAAUUAUUUUAUAAGACGAUAAGACCCUAUAGAAUUUUAUAUUUAUAUAUAAUUAAUUAUUUAAUUAUAAUAUAAAUAUUUAAUUGGGAGGAUUAAUAAAUUUAAUAAACUUUAUUUUUAAAAUAAACUUUAAUUUUAGAAUAUAUUAAAUGAUCUUAUUAUUAUAAAUUAAAAAAAUAAAUUACCUUAGGGAUAACAGCGUAAUAUCUUUUUAAAGAUCAUAUUAAUAAAGAUGUUUGCGACCUCGAUGUUGAAUUAAGAUAAAUUUUAGGUGAAGAAAUCUAAAUAUUAAGUCUGUUCGACUUUUAAAAUCUC
This 501-nucleotide ribosomal RNA is filed under the name Bombus schrencki albidopleuralis. Its description in RNAcentral is "partial 16S ribosomal RNA". The stretch from base 378 to 501 matches the Rfam family "Bacterial large subunit ribosomal RNA", at positions 2473 to 2597 of the family's 2925-position model. Lineage: Eukaryota; Metazoa; Arthropoda; Insecta; Hymenoptera; Apidae. The record is from RNAcentral.